This 23-nucleotide small RNA is filed under the name Arabidopsis thaliana (thale cress). Its description in RNAcentral is "ATSL134220". The record is from RNAcentral. Lineage: Eukaryota; Viridiplantae; Streptophyta; Magnoliopsida; Brassicales; Brassicaceae.
CUUAGAAAAAAAGGAAAAAAAAA